GCUCAAAUGCAGAUAUAAAUGAGGAAUCCUGGAUUCUUGAAUGAUCCUGUGGAGCACAGCAGACCUCAGGGUGAAGAGUUCACUUAACUCAACACUGUUAAGUGAGAAUUAAGUAAACUUAUGCUGUGUUUGGCUAAGUGGGUUCAGAUCUUGUGCAGAAGAGAGGAUUAACAUUACUGAGCCCUCUCAGUCCAAUCCAGAGGGCAUCAAUAUGGUUGAGCAGAAUAACAGCACACUCUAGACAACAGAAACAACAGCCAGAGGACUGAGAAGGGAAAGACGAUUGGGAAACAGCUCAAAUAAUAUUCAAGACAUUCCAACCCCAUCUUGGAACUCCCAGAGAGAUGCAAAAAAAGAAGGUGAUGUGGAUAUGCCAUAUGGCAGGAAUAAACCAGUGAGAUCCAGCUGAACUAUUCAAAUGACAGUGAAGGACUGAAGAUUCUCAAGGAUGCAGGGUUUUGAAGAUGUUCACAAAUCAAUAUAAAGAAAUAGAGAGGAGAAGGCGGAACAAGAUGGCUGAAUAGAAGCCUCCAGCGAUUGUCCCUCCCACGAAACACCAAACAGAACAUCUAUCCACAGAAAAAAAGCAUGUUCAUAAGAACCAAAAAUCAG
Pan troglodytes (chimpanzee) is the source of this 612-nucleotide long non-coding RNA. RefSeq lists it as uncharacterized. The transcript is spliced from 3 exons. The record is from RefSeq and is a predicted model, not a curated record. NCBI's taxonomy places the organism in Eukaryota, Metazoa, Chordata, Mammalia, Primates, Hominidae.